AUGCAAGUCGUACGAAGAUCUUCGAUCUUAGUGGCGGACGGGUGAGUAACACGUGAGAAUCUACCCUUAGGAAGAGGAUAACAGCUGGAAACGGUUGCUAAUACUCUAUAUGCCGAGAGGUAAAAGGAUCCAUCCACCUUAGGAAGAGCUCGCGUCUGAUUAGCUUGUUGGCGGGGUAACGGCCCACCAAGGCGACGAUCAGUAGCUGGUUUGAGAGGACGACCAGCCACACUGGGACUGAGACACGGCCCAGACUCCUACGGGAGGCAGCAGUGGGGAAUUUUCCGCAAUGGGCGAAAGCCUGACGGAGCAAUACCGCGUGAGGGAUGACAGCCUGUGGGUUGUAAACCUCUUUUCUCAAGGAAGAAGUUCUGACGGUACUUGAGGAAUAAGCAUCGGCUAACUCUGUGCCAGCAGCCGCGGUAAUACAGAGGAUGCAAGCGUUAUCCGGAAUCACUGGGCAUAAAGCGUCUGUAGGUUGCCAACCAAGUCUGCUGUUAAAGACUAGGGCUUAACCCUGGGAAAGCAGUGGAAACUAGCCGGCUUGAGUGUGGUAGAGGUAGAGGGAAUUCCUAGUGUAGCGGUGUAAUGCGUAGAUAUUAGGAAGAACACCAAUGGCGAAAGCACUCUACUGGGCCACAACUGACACUGAGAGACGACAGCUAGGGGAGCAAAUGGGAUUAGAUACCCCAGUAGUCCUAGCCGUAAACGAUGGAUACUAGGUGUUGCACGUAUUAACCCGUGCAGUAUCGUAG
RNAcentral lists this ribosomal RNA (755 nucleotides) under uncultured cyanobacterium. Its description in RNAcentral is "bacterial SSU rRNA". It matches the Rfam family "Bacterial small subunit ribosomal RNA", at positions 55 to 851 of the family's 1533-position model. The record is from RNAcentral. Lineage: Bacteria; Bacillati; Cyanobacteriota.